GGAGACUGCCGGUGAUAAGCCGCGAGGAAGGUGGGGAUGACGUCAAGUCCUCAUGGCCCUUACGGGCUGGGCUACACACGUGCUACAAUGGCGGUGACAAUGGGACGCUAAGGGGCAACCCUUCGCAAAUCUCAAAAAGCCGUCUCAGUUCGGAUUGGGCUCUGCAACUCGAGCCCAUGAAGUUGGAAUCGCUAGUAAUCGUGGAUCAGCAUGCCACGGU
This 220-nucleotide ribosomal RNA is filed under the name Klebsiella pneumoniae. Its description in RNAcentral is "partial 16S ribosomal RNA". It matches the Rfam family "Bacterial small subunit ribosomal RNA", at positions 1144 to 1363 of the family's 1533-position model. Lineage: Bacteria; Pseudomonadati; Pseudomonadota; Gammaproteobacteria; Enterobacterales; Enterobacteriaceae. The record is from RNAcentral.